GCAACAAAACUCAGCUGGUAGAGCAUAAGACUCUCAAUUUCAGGGUUAUGGGUUCAAGCCACACGUUCAGCA
Podarcis lilfordi (Lilford's wall lizard) is the source of this 72-nucleotide non-coding RNA. The record is from the annotation of a GenBank genome assembly. Lineage: Eukaryota; Metazoa; Chordata; Lepidosauria; Squamata; Lacertidae.